This 837-nucleotide ribosomal RNA is filed under the name Cadophora sp. RNAcentral's name for it is "partial large subunit ribosomal RNA". It matches the Rfam family "Eukaryotic large subunit ribosomal RNA", at positions 78 to 932 of the family's 3401-position model. Lineage: Eukaryota; Fungi; Ascomycota; Leotiomycetes; Helotiales; Ploettnerulaceae. The record is from RNAcentral.
CCUCAGUAACGGCGAGUGAAGCGGUAACAGCUCAAAUUUGAAAGCUAGCUCUUUUAGGGUUCGCAUUGUAAUUUGUAGAAGAUGCUUCGGGUGUGGCCCCGGUCUAAGUUCCUUGGAACAGGACGUCAUAGAGGGUGAGAAUCCCGUAUGUGACUGGGUGCUUUCGCUCAUGUGAAGCUCUUUCGACGAGUCGAGUUGUUUGGGAAUGCAGCUCAAAAUGGGUGGUAAAUUUCAUCUAAAGCUAAAUAUUGGCCAGAGACCGAUAGCGCACAAGUAGAGUGAUCGAAAGAUGAAAAGCACUUUGGAAAGAGAGUUAAACAGUACGUGAAAUUGUUGAAAGGGAAGCGCUUGCAACCAGACUUGCGCGCUGAUGAUCAUCCGGGCUUCUGCCCGGUGCACUCGUCUGCGCUCAGGCCAGCAUCGGUUUCGGUGGUGGGAUAAAGGCCUUGGGAAUGUAGCUUCUUUCGGGGAGUGUUAUAGCCCUCGGUGCAAUGCCGCCUACCGGGACCGAGGACCGCGCUUCGGCUAGGAUGCUGGCGUAAUGGUUGUAAGCGACCCGUCUUGAAACACGGACCAAGGAGUCUAACAUCUAUGCGAGUGUUUGGGUGUCAAACCCAUACGCGUAAUGAAAGUGAACGGAGGUGAGAACCCUUAAGGGUGCAUCAUCGACCGAUCCUGAUGUCUUCGGAUGGAUUUGAGUAAGAGCAUAGCUGUUGGGACCCGAAAGAUGGUGAACUAUGCGUGAAUAGGGUGAAGCCAGAGGAAACUCUGGUGGAGGCUCGCAGCGGUUCUGACGUGCAAAUCGAUCGUCAAAUUUGCGUAUAGGGGCGAAAGACU